Dermacentor andersoni is the source of this 1602-nucleotide non-coding RNA. NCBI's taxonomy places the organism in Eukaryota, Metazoa, Arthropoda, Arachnida, Ixodida, Ixodidae. The record is from RefSeq and is a predicted model, not a curated record.
UCACGACGCAGGACAAGGUGCUUUGUGCUCUCCGUUUCCUCGCAACGGGGAGCUUCCAAAGAUACAUCAGCAGCAAAGAAUUCAUAACCAUGGGGCAGGCUUUCGUGAGCGAGAGCAUUCACGCGGUUGCGGAGGCAAUAACCAUGGUGGGCCAGCGACAGGGCUGGGUGAGCUUCUCGUUGACACCGGCCGGCAACGCUAGCGCAAAGGCGGCUUUUGCGGAUUGCGGCCGCAUUCCCGGUGUAGUGGCCUGUGUUGACAGGACGCUCAUAGCCAUCAAACAGCCUGAAGAACUCAGUCUGGGCAAUACUGCGGGCUUCAUGUCUAGGAAAGGCUUCUACGCAUUGAAUACCAUGAUCGAGACUCAGGCUACCCUCUUGAGCCAUGGCUGCUCACACCUGUGCCAUGCCAUCCAGGCAUUCACACUCCAGAGGGGUGCUACAACUGGGCCUAUGCCUCCAUGAGGGAUGUUGUGGAGAGGGGCAUUGGCGUCUUGAAGGCAAGAUUUCGGUCCCUUCAAGGGUACUGGACCCUCCUUUAUCAGCCUAAGGAUGCAGCCACAAUUGUGGCAGCCUGUGCCACUCUCCACAACAUUGCUUUGAAGGCAGGGGAGUCAAGAGCUGCAAGACAGCGAUGAGGAGGCCGAGGACGACCAGCCACCGCAGCAAGGACAAUUGCAACAGGACUUUCCUGUGUCCGAAGGGCCUCACACCUGCCGGCAGGAAACGCCCAGAGAGUUGCUCCCGAGGGCAAAGCAGAAGAGGAGCCACAUAAUGAGCGUCUUCUCUGUGGCCCCUACCUGGCGUAUAACUCAUCUGCGUGCGCUACGUCAUCAGCUCAGGCAGCAACACCAGGUUUGUCGCAUGGCUCAACCAUAAAGUGAGAUCUCUUGGGGACAAUAGUGGCCCGUACGAUAUGUUCUGGCUUCUGGGAAGCCUGUUUAUUUUCGUUGGCUUGAGGAUGAUUGUGUUGUGGUUCGAAAAGAAGAAAGUUCGCAACUGGGAACGGGACAUUGCCAGAAAUAUGCCAUGUAUGUUGCACAUGUGAGGAUUGAAGCCACCUAGAACAACUUGUUUUAGUAAAAAAAAAGGUUAUCGGACACAAUUUUGUUCAUUGUAUAUGCGGUGGCCUUCGUAGCCGCCAUUGCCCCUUUAGUAGCUACCUCAUCAGAAGUAAAUCCUCGUCGUAAGCGAUUUUUUUUUCUACUUCAACCGAGCCUCCAGUGAGAGACCCAAAACACUCAUCAUCAUCAUCAGCCUGGUUACGCCCACUGCAGGGCAAAGGCCUCUCCCAUACUUCUUCAACUACCUCGAUCAUGUUCUAAUUGUGGCCAUGUUGUACCUGCAAACUUCUUAAUUUCAUCUGCCCACCUAACUUUCUGCCGUCCCCUGCUACGCUUCCCUUCCCUUGGAAUCCAGUCUGGAACCCUUAAUGACCAUCGGUUAUCCUCCCUCCUCAUUACAUGUCCUGCCCAUGCCCAUUUCUUUUCUUUUUUGAUUUCAACUAAGAUGUCAUUAACUCGUGUUUGUUCCCUCACCCAAUCUGCUCUUUUCUUAUCCCUUAACGUUACACCCAUCAUUCUUCUUUCCAUAGCUCGUUGUG